This 251-nucleotide ribosomal RNA is filed under the name uncultured bacterium. RNAcentral's name for it is "partial 16S ribosomal RNA". It matches the Rfam family "Bacterial small subunit ribosomal RNA", at positions 109 to 353 of the family's 1533-position model. The record is from RNAcentral.
AGUAACACGUAGGUAACCUGCCCAUGUGCCCGGGAUAACUUCUGGAAACGGAUGCUAAAACCGGAUAGGUAGCAGACAAGCAUUUGACUGCUAUUAAAGUGGCUAAGGCCAUGAACAUGGAUGGACCUGCGGUGCAUUAGCUAGUUGGUGAGGUAAUGGCCCACCAAGGCGACGAUCGGUAGCCGGACUGAGAGGUUGAACGGCCACAUUGGGACUGAGACACGGCCCAGACUCCUACGGGAGGCAGCAUG